UACGUAGGUGGCAAGCGUUGUUCGGAUUUACUGGGCGUAAAGGGCGUGCAGGCGGUUUGUUAAGUGCAGGGUGAAAGCUCCCGGCUCAACUGGGAGAGGUCCUUGCAUACUGGCAGACUUGAGGGAGGCAGAGGAAAGUGGAAUUCCCGGUGUAGUGGUGAUAUGCGUAGAUAUCGGGAGGAACACCUGUGGCGAAGGCGGCGAUCUGGACGAUGACUGACGCUGAGACGCGAAAGCGUGGGGAGCAAACAGG
Molecule: ribosomal RNA, 253 nt
Filed under: uncultured bacterium
Lineage: Bacteria
Description: partial 16S ribosomal RNA
Rfam family: Bacterial small subunit ribosomal RNA
Source: RNAcentral